This 561-nucleotide ribosomal RNA is filed under the name Triticum aestivum (bread wheat). Its description in RNAcentral is "partial small subunit ribosomal RNA". The record is from RNAcentral. Lineage: Eukaryota; Viridiplantae; Streptophyta; Magnoliopsida; Poales; Poaceae.
AUGGCAGUGUGUGAUUUUGAUAUGAGGUUCACUUUUGUUGUUCCUGGAUGGCCCGGAUCUGUUCAUGACACACGUGUAUGGAGCGAUGCUAUAGUUCGCUAUGAGCAUUAUCCACAACCACCCACAGAUAAAUACUACCUUGUCGACUCCGGAUAUCCCAACAGAGUUGGAUAUCUAGCACCAUACAAAGGGCAACGGUAUCAUGUACCUGAUUUCCAACAACACCCUCCCAUGGGGAGGUAUGAGACAUUCAACCAUCGACAUUCUUCUUUGCGCAAUGUUAUCGAAAGAUCAUUUGGUGUUCUCAAGAUGAAAUGGCGUAUUCUCCAAGGCAUACCACGGUACAAACCGGAGACCCAAAAGAUGAUCAUCACUGCAUGCAUGUGUCUUCACAACUACAUUCGUGAUAGCAAGUUACGUGAUGAGCAUUUUGACAAGUUUGACAAUGAUGCAUACGUGCAACCUCCACAGCCGUUUACAGGUGCCAACGCUUUACCACCUGACGAUGAUGGUACCAUGGCCGCUACACGUGAGGCUAUUGCCGUCAGCCUUGUACCUUGA